RNAcentral lists this ribosomal RNA (253 nucleotides) under uncultured bacterium. RNAcentral describes it as "partial 16S ribosomal RNA". It matches the Rfam family "Bacterial small subunit ribosomal RNA", at positions 524 to 776 of the family's 1533-position model. The record is from RNAcentral.
UACGUAGGUGGCAAGCGAUACUCGGAAUCACUAGGCGUAAAGCGCAGGUAGGCGGUUUGGUAAGUCUUUUGUGAAAGCUCCCGGCUUAACUGGGAGAGGUCAAGGGAAACUACCGGACUAGAGUGUGGUAGGGGAUACUGGAAUUCCUGGUGUAGCGGUGAAAUGCGUAGAUAUCGGGAGGAACACCGGUGGCGAAGGCGGCGACCUGGGUAGAUACUGACGCUGAGGUGCGAAAGCGUGGGGAGCAAACAGG